Long non-coding RNA from Megalobrama amblycephala (Wuchang bream), 1561 nucleotides. RefSeq lists it as uncharacterized. NCBI's taxonomy places the organism in Eukaryota, Metazoa, Chordata, Actinopteri, Cypriniformes, Xenocyprididae. The transcript has 3 exons. The record is from RefSeq and is a predicted model, not a curated record.
UCUCACUCUGCGUGUUUCGCGCUGGAUGACGGUCGUGCUGAGCGGUGCAGGUAUACAGAGAAGUAGAAGAGAAGAGGAUGACAACAUUUGCUAAGGGGGAUGUUUUCAUUUUCAUCCUUAACACAAACAUUUUAAACCACAAACUACGGAGUAUGUUUUGGACAUUAUUUAACCUUUUAAAAGACGAACAAAAAUUUUUAGAAUGACAUUUCUUACUCCAAGUUUUAGGGGUGCUGAAGCACCCCUAAAAAAGGGCUAGCCUCGCUCAUGGUGUUGUCUGUUGCUGAGAAAAUGUGUUUACAUUAUUUCUAUCGUUUGAUUAUUUUCUCUUAAUCUUCAGCAGAGAAGUCUAUAUCACUCUGAAACUCUUCACAGGAUUGGCUGCUCACUGCAAACGUCACAUUUUUAUUUGCAAGCGCUCAAGAAUUUAAAGCCUGUGCUGUGAUACCAACAUUAAGUCUCACUGAAUUUUCUUCAACUUCGACAUCGUGCAUCUCAAUACAGACCACGGGUUUACUUCCCCAGACUAUAGACUACAACCUCCUACAGACAAAAGAAGAACGCUGAGCAGGUCAUGAAGAUCCAUCAGUCUACUGUGAUUCUGCUGCUGGUUAUAUGUGCACCAUUGUCCACUUACAGCCAGAGUUAUGAGGCUUUCAAAAAAAACAUCUGGCUCCAAACGGGAUCACUGACAAUGAUUGUACCACCGAGAUCAAAAAUAGACAAAUCAAUAAGUGCAGAAAAAUACACACCUUCAUAAAAGCAAAUGAAAAUGAAAUUAUACAUGUUUGUGAUAAUGAAAAAAAGCAUCAGAAUUUGCCCUAUAUGAUAAGUGCUACAUUUAAUGUGAUUGAUUGUGCUGGCAAAGAAGAUAACAACGGUUGUAAUUAUACUCAUGUUGAACCAAAUAGAAAAACAUUUAUAUUGACAUGUGAAAAAGGUUUCCCAGUACAUUAUGGCGAAUCCACCUUAAAGUAGCAUCAGUUUAUUUCCCUAUUCAUGUGAUUCUUCUUUUCUGUUUUUCUUUUCUAGAUUGUUUUAGUGCAAAAUUUUCUUCUCUUCUUUCACUCUUUACAUGAUUGAUUACAGCAGGGGUGUCCAAACUCAGUCCUGAAUGGCCACUGUCCUGCAGAGUUUAUCUCCAGCUUUUCUCAACACACCUGGCUGGAAGUUUCUAAUAUGCCUAGUAGCUGGUUCAGGUGUGUUUAAUUGGGGCUGGAGCUAAACUCUGCAGGACAGUGGCCCUUCAGGAGCAGGAUUGGACACUCCUGGAUUACAGUAUCAUUUAUAAGCAAAAAACUGACUACAGAUUGACUACAGAUGUUAAGUGCUUCAGUUCCUUGUACCAUUACUUUGGGUGUUGGUGUCAGCCAGUGUGGCAAAAGCGUGGAAGUUGUUAACAGCUGAUGAGUAAAGAAAAGUUUCUUUGUUUUAGAGAGUAGUGAAUGUACAAAAACAGACAGAAAGAGGAAGAUAGAAGAUGAGUGAAGAAUAUGUUGUGCCUUCUGUGCCAAGACCCUCAAUAAAAUUAUCUACAAGCAUUAAACAUGUCUCUUAUUGU